Molecule: long non-coding RNA, 753 nt
Organism: Herpailurus yagouaroundi (jaguarundi)
Lineage: Eukaryota; Metazoa; Chordata; Mammalia; Carnivora; Felidae
Exons: 3
Source: RefSeq, a predicted model, not a curated record
CCCAACCCUGCCCAUCACCGGAGUCAGGAGAACUACGAAACUCUCCUCUGGGCUGCUAUCUGUCCUCUCAGAGGGCUGGGGUGGAGGCCAUGUGGCACCACCAUGACUACUCUUUGCACAAGGAUUUUCUUUCUGCUCUCUGAACACCAGCUUUCCUUUCUUAACCUGAGCCUGUUUCUCUUAUGCUUCUUUCACAGACAAUGAAUAAUCAGUCCACUUCCUUCUUAUAAAAUCCCUCUCUAGAGUAAUCUACUUACCUCCUAAUGGGUGCUUUCCAGGCUAAAUAGCCUGUAUCUUUCUAAUCUCACAUCCCUGGACCUACUUUCUGGACAAAUAAGCAAACUGGCACCUCUAGUAGCUAUGGCUGAGGAAGCAGGAGCAGAGCAAGAUGAUCAGAGUCAUGAUGAUCCUGCCCCCAACCUCACUUCAGCCACACCUGACUUCACUUAAUAGAACCCAGAACAUAGCUUUGGUGAUGGAAUAUGUGGAAGGAGGACCAACAAGACUCUGUAGCAAGUAGUGAUCUGUCUCCAAGUGGAUCUGUCCAGUACCCCUUUUGCUAUGGGCCCUUCAAGUUCACUGGAUCAUUGUCAGUAAGAGGGAGAGGACUCUUUAGAAGACGGACACCGAUUUGCUUUCGGGCAUGCAUCCUCCAAAGAUGUCUACAACUAAAUAUUGGCAUUUUGACCAAGACAAGUCCUAUCUGAGAAGGAAUAAUUUCUCACAGAGAAUAAAAAGAUGUUGUAAGUAACA